Molecule: long non-coding RNA, 368 nt
Organism: Lolium rigidum
Lineage: Eukaryota; Viridiplantae; Streptophyta; Magnoliopsida; Poales; Poaceae
Exons: 2
Source: RefSeq, a predicted model, not a curated record
CACUGCAGAUCAAGCUCGGUGUCCUCUCGGUAGUGUACUUCGAGAGAAUCAAGGCCGUCUUCCCCUAGAUACGUUCAAACCAUACGACGAUUCGUGGAACGGUAUUGUUGGCGGUUUGGGCUACCUCGAUGUUGGCCAGAAGGGCUUCGAUGAAGAUAGGUCAUCGCCGUGAACGAAUACACAUGUGUCUUUGCCCGUGUCAGAACAAAAUGUUUGCUUUGUGACAUUUGCUCUUGUAUUAUUCAUGUUUUCUGGUGAUUUGCAAGUGCUGGUAUGCAUCUAUAAGAUGCCUAUCUUGUAACACGACCAAGUACUGAAGCAAAGAAAAUCAGGCUUCUUGUAUGAGUAGAACCAUCAGGUUUCAUUGA